GCCAGCUGCAGAUACGUACCCACAUGGAGGGUGAUGAGGGACCAAGGAGAGCCCGAUGUGCUUUAGCUUUUGGGGGCAGAGGCUGAGACCCAGAGUCAGGGCUUUGUGAGGAGUCCUCCCUUCUGAUCCUCCUUCCCAGAGCAUGGAGCCCCCAGACCACUGUCUCACCUCCCUGCACCUGUGCCUGCCGUGGAUGGCACCCUUGAUCCCUAGGGGUACCCUGAAAAGAGAGGCAGAAUGGGUAUUGACUGCAGGCAGUUUCCAACCCGGCCCCUCACUCUUGGUCUUCCUUCUCCUAAGGCCUCACCCCAAAUCAAAGCAGGGAAAGGAGCCUGCCUCCUAAGCCACUCCCCAUAAUCCUGUUGGAAGCCACCAGCCUCUGCGGACACUGACUUGGGAACCAGAGCUGGGGUCAGUUCCUGGGGUUUCAAGGCUCCAGGAGCCCUUGGGAGGCAGGUCGGGGCUGGUGGAGGCAGGACAAAGUGCCUGGCACUCCCUCCACCCCAACCUGACCUGUGGGAAGCCCCCGGCAGGGGGACUGGGAUCUGGGUGGCAGCAGGAUGCAGGUGGGGGAGGGGGACUCAGUCUCAGGGGCUGGCUGAGGCCUGGGCGUCCCUGAGGUGGCUGGGGGUCCCUGGCGGAGACCCUCGGGGGUGCGUGAUCCAGGCGGGCCUGAGGGGCACCUCUAUCCUUCCACUGAAGGAGGAAAGAGCAAGCUGACCGGGCUCCGGGGAGCUCCAGGCGGAUGCAGAAGAGGAGAUGCUCACACUCCGGAACAGUGAAGGAGACUGGGACCCUUUCUCAGCCGCUGCCAUCCGACGGACGCUGCUUCCCCCCUCAGAUUGGGGCCUCUCUGGGGCAGGGGGCUGCCUCCCCUUGGCGGGGGGACCUCUGGCCAGGCAGGAGGGGCCGCGACUUCCGCGUCUGCCCAGAGGCGCCCGGCGGGCGGCCCCCCCAGACCAGAGGUUCCCGGAGCCAAGGCGCUGCCUCCCCCACCACCGUGGAAAGUUGGCCUAAUCAAUGAGGCCGCACGCUAAAUAAAUCACUCGAGGGGCUUAGAGCAGUGUUUUUGCAGCGGCUGUAAUAAUAAUAUUAAUAACAAUGCCCCUCAGAAACCUGGCAGAGGCUGCACUUGCGGGCGGGGUGGGGGCGGGGGCCACGCUGGCGCCCCUGCCCCCCGGCCUCUGCCCACCCACUAGGCCCCGAGGCCACCCAGGGCCUCCUGGGGGGCUUUGACCCAGCCCCCACCCGGGUGGCACACAUGUUGGGGAGGCGGGGGCAGCUGGAAGACCCCCAGAGAUACCCUGGCCAGAGGGGGCCAGAGGGGGCCAGAGGGGGCCAGAGACAAUGGGUGGAGGGGGAAUGAGGGAAGGGCAUGGGGCAGGGGUGCCUGGGGGAAGAGUGGGAACGGGAGCCGGAGACCAUCCAGGCUGGUCCAGGCUUAGCCCCUCACUUCUGAGGACCUGUGUCCCCGCCGCCCAGCCCUGACUGGUUCCCCCCACACACCCCGAGCCAGGGCCCAGGGAGAGGUCCCAUUCUUGAUCAUCCACGUGUUCUGGUCAUCUGCGUGUUCUGUUCGUCCACGACCGUCCCCAUGAUCCCAGGCUGAGUGUGGUGAGUGGGCACCGAAGCU
Molecule: long non-coding RNA, 1633 nt
Filed under: Canis lupus familiaris (dog)
Lineage: Eukaryota; Metazoa; Chordata; Mammalia; Carnivora; Canidae
Description: lncRNA (ENSCAFG00030018242.1)
Source: RNAcentral